RNA transcript from Homo sapiens (human), 3561 nucleotides. It is a transcript of the gene named arginine and serine rich coiled-coil 2, with no coding region annotated. The record is from RefSeq and is marked validated. The transcript is spliced from 11 exons. Lineage: Eukaryota; Metazoa; Chordata; Mammalia; Primates; Hominidae.
AGUCUGAGGCGAAGCUUCGGAGCGGCCGGUACUGUUGAAAGCGACAAGUGGAGGCGCCGCUCUAGCGGCCGGGACUCUGAACUAUGGCGGCUAGUGAUACAGAGCGAGAUGGACUAGCCCCAGAAAAGACAUCACCAGAUAGAGAUAAGAAAAAAGAGCAGUCAGAAGUAUCUGUUUCUCCUAGAGCUUCAAAACAUCAUUAUUCAAGAUCACGAUCAAGGUCAAGAGAAAGAAAACGAAAGUCAGAUAAUGAAGGAAGAAAACACAGGAGCCGGAGCAGAAGCAAAGAGCGUGCUUAUGCGCGAAGAGACUGAACUGAAGACGCUGCAGACUCAGAUAGCAAAAUAAUAAGCCUACUUCAUGAUAAGAACCAACUUCUUCUUAAAACAGGGAAGAAGACAUGAAUCCAAAGAUAAAUCCUCUAAGAAACAUAAGUCUGAGGAACAUAAUGACAAAGAACAUUCUUCUGAUAAAGGAAGAGAGCGACUAAAUUCAUCUGAAAAUGGUGAGGACAGGCACAAACGCAAAGAAAGAAAGUCAUCAAGAGGCAGAAGUCACUCAAGAUCUAGGUCUCGUGAAAGACGCCAUCGUAGUAGAAGCAGGGAGCGGAAGAAGUCUCGAUCCAGGAGUAGGGAGCGGAAGAAAUCGAGAUCCAGAAGCAGAGAGAGGAAGAAAUCGAGAUCCAGAAGCAGGGAAAGAAAACGGCGGAUCAGGUCUCGUUCCCGCUCAAGAUCAAGACACAGGCAUAGGACUAGAAGCAGGAGUAGGACAAGGAGUAGGAGUCGAGAUAGAAAGAAGAGAAUUGAAAAGCCGAGAAGAUUUAGCAGAAGUUUAAGCCGGACUCCAAGUCCACCUCCCUUCAGAGGCAGAAACACAGCAAUGGAUGCACAGGAAGCUUUAGCUAGAAGGUUGGAAAGGGCAAAGAAAUUACAAGAACAGCGAGAAAAGGAAAUGGUUGAAAAACAAAAACAACAAGAAAUAGCUGCAGCUGCAGCUACUGGAGGUUCUGUUCUCAAUGUUGCUGCCCUGUUGGCAUCAGGAACACAAGUAACACCUCAGAUAGCCAUGGCAGCUCAGAUGGCAGCCCUGCAAGCUAAAGCUUUGGCAGAGACAGGAAUAGCUGUUCCUAGCUACUAUAACCCAGCCGCUGUUAAUCCAAUGAAAUUUGCUGAACAAGAGAAAAAAAGGAAAAUGCUUUGGCAGGGCAAGAAAGAAGGGGACAAAUCCCAAUCUGCUGAAAUAUGGGAAAAAUUGAAUUUUGGAAACAAGGACCAAAAUGUCAAAUUUAGGAAAUUGAUGGGUAUUAAGAGUGAAGAUGAAGCUGGAUGUAGCUCAGUUGAUGAAGAAAGUUACAAGACUCUGAAGCAGCAGGAAGAAGUAUUUCGAAAUUUAGAUGCUCAGUAUGAAAUGGCAAGAUCACAAACCCACACACAAAGAGGAAUGGGUUUGGGUUUCACAUCUUCAAUGCGAGGAAUGGAUGCAGUUUGAAAAUGAUCACACUUGUAAAGUUUGGGACUUAUAGACUUCUUGUUCUGAUGUCACGUCCUUGUUCACCAAACAGCUAGCACUCUAGCUUGCAUGGGUGUUGCAUUGACUUUAAUUUAUUGAAAAAUACAAAUUUUUGUAAAUAUCAGAUCAGUGAUACUGGUGUUAGUGUUGUAAUCAGGUUAAACCCACUUCCAUUAAACUUGACAGGACUAUAGAAGGAUAAUAUUUUUUAGUUCAUGAAUUCUACUUUUCAAAUAUAUAAAAGCUGCAGGUGGGGAUAAAAUCUCAUACAUGGAUUUUUUCGUGUCCGCUGUCUUGUGUACUUUUGUACUUAACCUUGUACAGUUAUUUUCAUCUCUUGAAACAUGAAAGAAAUGUUAUGUAGAUGUUCUUUAGAAGAUCUGGCCAUUUGGUACAUAAUCCAGCACAGAUAAGCUGGGUGGUAAUGAUAAUAAAAAUGGUUUUCUCAAAACUGGUGUUAAUUUAAGUUACCUGGGAUGUUUCUUUGAAUUUGUUUUAUAGUUUCUGUAGCAUUUGGCAAUUGCUGUUAGAAAACACUAGCUAGAAAUCCCCUCCCCACCACCCUUUUUAAGGCCAGUUAACUAUACUACAGUCAAUACCGUGGUGAGCAAAAAUGUAAAAGGUGGAAGGAGAAAACUUACUAAAAUAGUAUGUUUUCCUAUUAUAAGGGACAGACUUGGUAUUCAGUAUUUGUCAAAUAUUACAUGUGUUAUUCAGGAGAUAGAUUAAUGCAUUAAAGGGAUGUAAGCACUUUUAUUUUAAUAAAGUGCCUUAUAACAAGUUCUUUGCAUGCUUUUUGCUCAUUAUCCCUUUGAAGUCUUCUCCAGCAUAGACUAUAAAAUAUUAAAAUAUUAGAAAUUUUUUUUGUUUGUUUUUUUGAGACAGGAUCUUGCUCUGUUGCCUAAACUGGGUGCAGUGGCACAAUCUCGGCUCACUGCCAGAGCCUCUGCCCCCCAGGUUCAAGCAAUUCUCCCACCUCCACCUCCCAUGUAACUGGGAUUACAGGCGUACCACCGCACCCAGCUAAUUUUUGUAUUUUUAGUAGAGGUGGGGUUUUACCAUGUUGGCCAGGCUGGUCCUGAACUCCUGACCUCAGGUGAUCCACCCUCCUCAGCCUCCCAAAGUGCCGGGAUUAUAGGCGUGAGCCACUGCAGCCAGCCUAGAAAAUGUUUUGUUACUAGAUUGAACAUAAAUCUGGAGCCAAGGGGUGGGGGGGGCCUGCAAAACUUGAAGUUAAUUUACUUCAGUUACAGCAAAGUAAUAAGGUUUGGCUUUCCUUUGAAAAAUCCUUUGGAAAACAUCACAGAAUGAGAGCACAUUACAAUCAGGGAAGACUACAGGAAUAAGAUUGACAGCCUUAUUUUAAAAGCUGGAAUUAAGUCUUGCCAACUUGCUCAUUAGGUAUUUUUUUUAUACAUGAAAAUGAAGUAAUGGGGUGUUUUCUUUUUUUUUGCUUUCUGUCCUAGGCUGGAGUGCAGUGCAUUGCAGCAGGCUCCCCCAGGCUCAAGCAGUCCUCCCACCUCAGCCUCUUGAGUACCUGGGACCACAGGUGCUCACCAACACACCUAGCUUGUUUUUAAUUUUUUAUAAAGACAAGGUCUUGUUACGUUGCCCAGGUUGGUCUUGAAUUCCUGGCCUCAAGCAAUCCUCCCACCUCAGGGCUCCCAAAGUGAUGGGGUUACAGGUGUGAUCCACUUCACCUAGCCAGAUUGUAAGAUUUUUAAUGUACUUUAAUAAACCUUUCAUUUUCCCAGAGCACAGAAAUUCUAUGGCAAAAUGGCUUUUCACCGUGUUUCAGUGACAAAUCUAAGCCUUCUAAGGAAAUGACACUAUGGAUCCUUCAUUUCGUGAUCAUCAACAUUUUUCAAUUAAGCUCUGCCUUUUUAAAUCAAUCUUAUUAAAAAUGUUCAUGACCUUCUAAGGCAGUGUGGACGCAAAAGCUUCCUGUGUGUCUACAGUUAUUUUAGGAGCUGACCAUACAUGAUGAGUGAUACAGCCUGUACUUUGCUCAUCUAGAGCAGCACUGUCCAAUAAAAUAUGUGUGUAUAUGUA